Molecule: ribosomal RNA, 493 nt
Filed under: uncultured bacterium
Lineage: Bacteria
Description: partial 16S ribosomal RNA
Rfam family: Bacterial small subunit ribosomal RNA
Source: RNAcentral
GACGAACGCUGGCGGCGUGCUUAACACAUGCAAGUCGAACGCUGAAGCCCUUUCGGGGGUGGAUGAGUGGCGAACGGGUGAGUAACACGUGGGUAAUCUGCCCUGUACUUCGGGAUAAGCCCUGGAAACGGGGUCUAAUACCGGAUAGGACCUGUCCUCGCAUGGGGGUGGGUGGAAAGUUCCGGCGGUAUGGGCUGAGCCCGCGGCCUAUCAGCUGGUUGGUGGGGUGACGGCCUACCAAGGCGACGACGGGUAGCCGGCCUGAGAGGGUGACCGGUCACACUGGGACUGAGACACGGCCCAGACUCCUACGGGAGGCAGCAGUGGGGAAUCUUGCGCAAUGGGCGAAAGCCUGACGCAGCAACGCCGCGUGGGGGAUGACGGCCUUCGGGUUGUAAACCUCUUUCGGCAUCGACGAAGGCAUCUCUGUGUGGGGUGUUGACGGUAGGUGUAGAAGAAGCACCGGCUAACUACGUGCCAGCCGCCGCCGUAA